UACGUAGGGUGCGAGCGUUGUCCGGAAUUACUGGGCGUAAAGAGCUCGUAGGUGGUUUGUCGCGUUGUCCGUGAAAACUCACAGCUUAACUGUGGGCGUGCGGGCGAUACGGGCAGACUGGAGUACUGCAGGGGAGACUGGAAUUCCUGGUGUAGCGGUGGAAUGCGCAGAUAUCAGGAGGAACACCGGUGGCGAAGGCGGGUCUCUGGGCAGUAACUGACGCUGAGGAGCGAAAGCGUGGGGAGCGGACAGG
RNAcentral lists this ribosomal RNA (253 nucleotides) under uncultured bacterium. RNAcentral describes it as "partial 16S ribosomal RNA". It matches the Rfam family "Bacterial small subunit ribosomal RNA", at positions 524 to 776 of the family's 1533-position model. The record is from RNAcentral.